RNAcentral lists this ribosomal RNA (441 nucleotides) under uncultured bacterium. RNAcentral describes it as "partial 16S ribosomal RNA". It matches the Rfam family "Bacterial small subunit ribosomal RNA", at positions 338 to 795 of the family's 1533-position model. The record is from RNAcentral.
CCUACGGGUGGCAGCAGUGGGGAAUAUUGGACAAUGGAGGAAACUCUGACCCAGCGACGCCGCGUGAAGGAUGAAGGUUUUCGGAUUGUAAACUUCUGUCAGCAGGGAUGAAGAAUGACGGUACCUCGUGAGAAAGCCCCGGCCAAAUACGUUCCAGCAGCCGCGGUAAUACGUAGGGGGCGAGCUUUGUCCGGAAUGACUGGGCGGAAAGGGAGGGUAGGCGGCAUAUUAAGGUAUGUGUGAAAGCCCGCGGCUCAACCGCGGAAUUGCACAUAAAACUGGUAAGCUGGAGUGCAGGAGAGGUAAGUGGAAUUCCCGGUGUAGCGGUGGAAUGCGUAGAUAUUGGGAGGAACACCAGAGGCGAAGGCGACUUACUGGACUGUAACUGACGCUGAGGCUCGAAAGCGUGGGGAGCAAACAGGAUUAGAUACCCUUGUAGUC